This 249-nucleotide ribosomal RNA is filed under the name uncultured bacterium. Its description in RNAcentral is "partial 16S ribosomal RNA". It matches the Rfam family "Bacterial small subunit ribosomal RNA", at positions 84 to 334 of the family's 1533-position model. The record is from RNAcentral.
AUUGCUGGCGACCGGCGCACGGGUGAGUAACACGUAUCCAACCUGCCGAUAACUCGGGGAUAGCCUUUCGAAAGAAAGAUUAAUACCCGAUGGCAUAAUUAGACCGUAUGGUUUGAUUAUUAAAGAAUUUCGGUUAUCGAUGGGGAUGCGUUCCAUUAGGCAGUUGGUGAGGUAACGGCUCACCAAACCUUCGAUGGAUAGGGGUUCUGAGAGGAAGGUCCCCCACAUUGGAACUGAGACACGGUCCAA